Molecule: transfer RNA, 87 nt
Filed under: Salmonella enterica subsp. enterica serovar Schwarzengrund
Lineage: Bacteria; Pseudomonadati; Pseudomonadota; Gammaproteobacteria; Enterobacterales; Enterobacteriaceae
Description: tRNA-Ser
Rfam family: tRNA
About the family: Transfer RNA (tRNA) molecules are approximately 80 nucleotides in length. Their secondary structure includes four short double-helical elements and three loops (D, anti-codon, and T loops).
Source: RNAcentral
GCCCGGAUGGUGGAAUCGGUAGACACAAGGGAUUUGAAAUCCCUCGGCGUUCGCGCUGUGCGGGUUCAAGUCCCGCUCCGGGUACCA